This 254-nucleotide ribosomal RNA is filed under the name uncultured bacterium. Its description in RNAcentral is "partial 16S ribosomal RNA". It matches the Rfam family "Bacterial small subunit ribosomal RNA", at positions 524 to 776 of the family's 1533-position model. The record is from RNAcentral.
UACGUAGGGUGCGAGCGUUGUCCGGAAUUAUUGGGCGUAAAGAGCUCGUAGGCGGUCUGUCGCGUCGAUCGUGAAAACUUGGGGCUUAACCCUGAGCUUGCGGUCGAUACGGGCAUGACUGGAGUUCGGCAGGGGAGACUGGAAUUCCUGGUGUAGCGGUGAAAUGCGCAGAUAUCAGGAGGAACACCGGUGGCGAAGGCAGGUCUCUGGGCCACUACUGACGCUGAGAAGCGAAAGCAUGGGGAGCGAACAGG